UAGUAACGGCGAGUGAAGCGGGAAAAGCUCAAAUUUGAAAUCUGGCGGUCUACGGCCGUCCGAGUUGUAAUCUAGAGAGGUGUUUUCCGUACUGGACCGUGUAAAAGUCCCUUGGAACAGGGCGUCAUAGAGGGUGAGAAUCCCGUCCAUGACACGGACUACCAGUGCUCUGUGAUACACCUUCAAAGAGUCGAGUUGUUUGGGAAUGCAGCUCAAAAUGGGUGGUAAAUUCCAUCUAAAGCUAAAUACAGGCGAGAGACCGAUAGCGAACAAGUACCGUGAGGGAAAGAUGAAAAGAACUUUGGAAAGAGAGUUAAACAGUACGUGAAAUUGUUGAAAGGGAAACGCUUGAAGUCAGUCGCGUCUGCUGGGACUCAACCUUGCUUUUGCCUGGUGUACUUCUCAGUAGAUGGGCCAGCAUCAAUUUCGGGCGCCGGAAAAGGGUUGGAGGAAUGUGACAGCUUGCUGUGUUAUAGCCUCUGAUCGUACACGGUGCUUGGGAUUGAGGACUGCAGCACGCCUUUUGGUCGGGGUUCUCCCACGCCACGUGCUUAGGAUGCUGGCGUAAUGGCUUUAAACGACCCGUCUUGAAACACGGACCAAGGAGUCUAACAUGCCUGCGAGUGUUUGGGUGGAAAACCCAGGCGCGUAAUGAAAGUGAAAAGUUGGGACUCUUUAGUGAGGCACC
Molecule: ribosomal RNA, 688 nt
Filed under: uncultured fungus
Lineage: Eukaryota; Fungi
Description: eukaryotic LSU rRNA
Rfam family: Eukaryotic large subunit ribosomal RNA
Source: RNAcentral